RNAcentral lists this ribosomal RNA (468 nucleotides) under uncultured bacterium. RNAcentral's name for it is "partial 16S ribosomal RNA". It matches the Rfam family "Bacterial small subunit ribosomal RNA", at positions 28 to 507 of the family's 1533-position model. The record is from RNAcentral.
GACGAACGCUGGCGGCGUGCUUAACACAUGCAAGUCGAACGGAAAUGCCCUGCUUUUGUGGGGUGUUCGAGUGGCGAACGGGUGAGUAACACGUGAGUAACCUGCCCUUGACUUUGGGAUAACUUCAGGAAACUGGGGCUAAUACCGGAUAGGAGCUCCUGCUGCAUGGUGGGGGUUGGAAAGUUUCGGCGGUUGGGGAUGGACUCGCGGCUUAUCAGCUUGUUGGUGGGGUAGUGGCUUACCAAGGCUUUGACGGGUAGCCGGCCUGAGAGGGUGACCGGCCACAUUGGGACUGAGAUACGGCCCAGACUCCUACGGGAGGCAGCAGUGGGGAAUAUUGCACAAUGGGCGGAAGCCUGAUGCAGCAACGCCGCGUGCGGGAUGACGGCCUUCGGGUUGUAAACCGCUUUCGCCGGUGACGAAGCGUGAGUGACGGUAAUGGGUAAAGAAGCACCGGCUAACUACGUG